This 312-nucleotide ribosomal RNA is filed under the name Harpactira sp. LP292. RNAcentral describes it as "partial 12S ribosomal RNA". The record is from RNAcentral. Lineage: Eukaryota; Metazoa; Arthropoda; Arachnida; Araneae; Theraphosidae.
GGGGAGUACUAUUUAUGAAAACCCAUGCUCUUUGGCGGCCUUUCUUCUCAUCAGAGGAACUCGUAUCUUAAUCCGAUAAUCCGCGUUAACUUUCACUUUUUUUAAAAGUCUUUAUAUCGCUGUCUUUAGAUAAAAAUUUAAAUUUCUAUCUUCUUAAGUUUCUUUUCACGUCAAGUCGAGAUAAAGCCUAUAAACAAGGGAGCCGAGUUACAAAUAUUUUUAAUUAAGUUUCUUCAUUCAAAAAUCUUCUAAAUUUAGGAUUUGACAGUAAUAAACUAAUACUCUUUUUUUAUGAAAUAGAACUUUAGGUGU